Molecule: RNA transcript, 5243 nt
Organism: Homo sapiens (human)
Lineage: Eukaryota; Metazoa; Chordata; Mammalia; Primates; Hominidae
Gene: NUP160
Gene name: nucleoporin 160
Exons: 36
Source: RefSeq, marked validated
GUUCCGUUGGGCGUCGCGGCGACGGCGGGAAGAUGGCGGCGGCGGGAGCCCUGGAACGGAGCUUCGUGGAGCUAAGCGGAGCUGAGCGCGAAAGGCCGAGGCACUUUCGGGAAUUCACAGUCUGCAGCAUUGGGACUGCAAAUGCCGUGGCUGGCGCCGUAAAAUACAGUGAAAGCGCGGGAGGCUUUUACUACGUGGAGAGUGGCAAGUUGUUCUCCGUAACCAGAAACAGGUUCAUUCAUUGGAAGACCUCUGGAGAUACAUUGGAGCUGAUGGAGGAGUCACUGGACAUAAAUCUGUUGAAUAAUGCCAUUCGCCUAAAAUUCCAAAAUUGCAGUGUUUUACCUGGAGGGGUUUAUGUCUCUGAGACUCAGAAUCGUGUGAUAAUCUUGAUGUUAACCAAUCAAACAGUGCACAGGUUACUUUUACCACACCCCUCCCGGAUGUAUAGGAGUGAGUUGGUAGUUGACAGUCAGAUGCAGUCAAUAUUCACUGACAUUGGAAAAGUUGAUUUCACAGAUCCUUGCAACUAUCAGUUAAUUCCAGCAGUACCUGGAAUAUCUCCUAAUUCCACCGCCUCUACAGCCUGGCUCAGCAGUGAUGGGGAGGCCCUGUUUGCCUUACCAUGUGCUUCUGGGGGAAUCUUUGUUCUUAAGCUACCUCCUUAUGACAUACCUGGUAUGGUGUCAGUCGUGGAACUGAAACAGAGUUCAGUAAUGCAACGAUUGCUUACAGGCUGGAUGCCAACAGCUAUCAGGGGUGACCAGUCGCCUUCAGAUCGUCCCCUCAGUCUUGCUGUUCAUUGUGUGGAGCAUGAUGCCUUCAUCUUUGCUUUGUGUCAGGAUCAUAAACUACGAAUGUGGUCUUACAAGGAGCAAAUGUGCCUAAUGGUAGCUGACAUGCUGGAGUAUGUCCCUGUGAAGAAAGACCUUCGGCUUACUGCUGGAACUGGACACAAAUUACGGCUUGCUUAUUCCCCCACCAUGGGACUCUACCUGGGGAUAUACAUGCAUGCACCAAAACGAGGACAGUUCUGCAUUUUCCAGUUGGUGAGCACUGAGAGUAAUCGCUAUAGUCUCGAUCAUAUUUCUUCACUGUUCACUUCUCAGGAGACACUGAUUGACUUUGCCUUAACUUCCACGGAUAUCUGGGCCCUGUGGCAUGAUGCUGAGAACCAAACAGUAGUGAAAUACAUCAACUUUGAACAUAAUGUUGCAGGUCAGUGGAAUCCAGUUUUUAUGCAGCCUCUGCCAGAGGAAGAGAUUGUCAUCAGAGAUGAUCAAGACCCCAGAGAGAUGUAUCUGCAAAGUCUUUUUACACCAGGACAAUUCACAAAUGAAGCUUUAUGUAAGGCUUUACAGAUUUUCUGCCGAGGAACUGAGAGGAAUUUGGAUCUUUCCUGGAGUGAACUGAAGAAAGAAGUUACUUUAGCUGUUGAAAAUGAGCUUCAAGGAAGUGUAACAGAGUAUGAAUUCUCCCAGGAGGAGUUUCGAAAUUUACAACAAGAAUUCUGGUGCAAGUUCUAUGCCUGUUGUCUUCAGUAUCAAGAAGCCCUCUCUCACCCUCUUGCCCUACAUUUGAAUCCACACACAAACAUGGUGUGCCUGCUGAAAAAAGGGUACCUGUCUUUCCUUAUUCCCUCAUCCUUAGUGGAUCAUUUGUAUCUCCUGCCUUAUGAGAACCUUUUGACAGAAGAUGAGACAACCAUAUCUGAUGAUGUGGACAUCGCUCGGGAUGUCAUAUGUCUUAUAAAAUGCCUCCGGCUGAUUGAAGAGUCAGUAACUGUGGAUAUGUCAGUUAUAAUGGAAAUGAGUUGUUAUAACCUACAGUCUCCGGAAAAGGCUGCAGAGCAGAUUCUGGAAGAUAUGAUCACUAUUGAUGUGUAAGGAGAAUUAGGAGAAAAUGUGAUGGAGGAUAUUUGUAGUAAACUGCAAGAGAUUAGGAACCCAAUCCAUGCAAUUGGACUACUUAUACGGGAAAUGGAUUAUGAAACAGAAGUGGAAAUGGAAAAGGGAUUCAAUCCAGCUCAGCCUUUGAAUAUUCGAAUGAAUCUUACCCAGCUCUAUGGUAGUAACACAGCAGGGUAUAUUGUGUGCAGAGGGGUGCAUAAAAUCGCCAGUACUCGUUUCCUGAUCUGCAGAGAUCUUUUGAUCUUACAGCAGCUGUUAAUGAGGCUUGGAGAUGCUGUGAUUUGGGGAACUGGUCAGCUCUUUCAAGCUCAGCAAGACCUACUACAUCGAACAGCUCCCCUACUCUUAUCUUAUUACCUCAUUAAAUGGGGAAGUGAGUGCUUGGCAACUGAUGUUCCACUUGACACACUGGAGUCUAAUCUCCAACACUUAUCAGUACUGGAAUUAACAGACUCUGGUGCUUUAAUGGCAAAUAGGUUUGUAUCUAGUCCUCAGACUAUUGUGGAGUUAUUCUUCCAAGAAGUUGCAAGAAAACACAUUAUAUCUCACCUCUUCUCUCAGCCAAAGGCACCUCUGAGCCAAACUGGAUUGAAUUGGCCUGAAAUGAUUACUGCAAUUACCAGUUAUUUAUUGCAGCUUUUAUGGCCUAGCAAUCCUGGUUGUCUCUUUCUAGAAUGUUUGAUGGGAAAUUGCCAAUAUGUACAAUUGCAGGAUUAUAUUCAACUGCUACAUCCCUGGUGUCAAGUCAAUGUUGGUUCCUGUCGAUUUAUGCUGGGAAGGUGUUACCUAGUUACAGGAGAAGGACAGAAGGCUCUGGAAUGUUUUUGUCAGGCAGCAUCUGAAGUAGGCAAAGAGGAAUUCUUGGAUCGCUUGAUUCGCUCAGAGGAUGGGGAGAUCGUGUCUACCCCCAGGCUGCAGUAUUAUGACAAGGUUUUACGACUACUAGAUGUCAUUGGUUUGCCUGAACUGGUUAUUCAGUUGGCUACAUCAGCCAUAACUGAAGCAGGUGAUGACUGGAAAAGUCAGGCUACUCUAAGGACAUGUAUUUUCAAACAUCAUUUGGAUUUGGGUCACAAUAGCCAAGCAUAUGAAGCCUUAACCCAAAUUCCUGAUUCCAGCAGGCAAUUAGAUUGUUUACGGCAGUUGGUGGUAGUUCUUUGUGAACGCUCACAGCUACAGGAUCUUGUAGAGUUUCCCUAUGUGAAUCUGCAUAAUGAGGUUGUGGGAAUAAUUGAGUCACGUGCUAGAGCUGUGGACCUUAUGACUCACAAUUACUAUGAACUUCUGUAUGCCUUUCACAUCUAUCGCCACAAUUACCGCAAGGCUGGCACAGUGAUGUUUGAGUAUGGAAUGCGGCUUGGCAGAGAAGUUCGAACUCUCCGGGGACUUGAGAAACAAGGCAACUGUUAUCUGGCUGCUCUCAAUUGUUUACGACUUAUUCGUCCAGAAUAUGCGUGGAUUGUGCAGCCAGUGUCUGGUGCAGUGUAUGAUCGCCCUGGAGCAUCCCCUAAGAGGAAUCAUGAUGGAGAAUGCACAGCUGCCCCCACAAAUCGACAAAUUGAAAUCCUGGAACUGGAAGAUCUGGAGAAAGAGUGUUCCUUGGCUCGCAUCCGCCUCACUUUGGCUCAGCAUGAUCCAUCAGCGGUUGCAGUUGCUGGAAGUUCAUCAGCAGAGGAAAUGGUCACUCUCUUGGUUCAGGCGGGCCUCUUUGACACUGCCAUAUCACUCUGUCAGACUUUUAAGCUUCCCUUAACGCCAGUCUUUGAAGGGCUUGCCUUCAAAUGCAUCAAAUUGCAAUUUGGAGGAGAGGCAGCACAAGCAGAAGCCUGGGCCUGGCUAGCAGCCAAUCAGCUCUCAUCUGUCAUCACUACUAAGGAGUCUAGUGCUACAGAUGAAGCAUGGCGACUAUUAUCCACUUACCUGGAGAGGUACAAAGUCCAGAAUAACUUGUAUCACCACUGUGUAAUCAACAAGCUCUUGUCUCAUGGAGUGCCUCUGCCUAAUUGGCUUAUAAACAGUUACAAGAAGGUUGAUGCUGCUGAAUUGCUUCGUUUAUACUUAAACUAUGACCUUUUAGAAGAAGCUGUGGAUUUGGUGUCAGAAUAUGUGGAUGCUGUAUUGGGAAAAGGACAUCAAUACUUCGGAAUUGAGUUUCCACUGUCCGCAACAGCCCCAAUGGUGUGGCUUCCAUACUCCUCUAUUGAUCAGCUUCUCCAAGCUCUGGGAGAGAACAGUGCCAACAGUCACAACAUCGCACUGUCCCAGAAAAUACUUGACAAAUUGGAGGACUACCAGCAAAAAGUUGAUAAGGCAACACGGGAUUUAUUAUAUCGUCGGACCUUGUGAUUUGGAUUGUCACCUAGCCUUUGUAACCGCUUGGUGCCUCUUAGGACUUAAGACUACCCUACAGGAACCCUGUACUCAAGGCCGAUUUUUGUAACUGUAAAUGAUGUGUACAACAUUCAAGUCUGCAUUCUGCACAAGAUAGGAGGGCGGAAGAGUCAGAGGACCCUGUGCUUGCUGGUGGUGCUAACACAAUUUCUGGUGUUCAACCUUGGUCUCAAAUAGCUGCUUUUGUAUAUGAUUCACGAGCUUUUUUAGAGUUUAUAUUUUUUUAAACUACCGAAGACAUUCAUUAUCUGCAAAUUAAGACUCACCUUCACUUUCCAAAAUAGCUGAGGGUUGUUGGCUUGUUGUAGCUGACCACCAAAAGCAGUCACUGCAAAUCUUUUAAUUCUUCCCUAUCACCUUUUGUAUUUUAAUGCAAUUAUUUUGGUCCAGAACUGACCUGUAUUUUCUGUAUUGUACACAAAAGCUAAUAAUUUUGUGUACUUUUUAUUUAUUUUGGAGGUUUUAUAUGAUCUUCAAUUGAGUAUUAAAUAAUUUGCCUAGAUUAAGCCUAAAAUGAUGACCAGCUAAUUAAAGAAGAUAUUUUGAAUCUGGUUCUGAGCUAAAGUUGAGUAAAUUCUUAGCUAAGAAAAAAUUGGAAAUCCAUCAUCUAUAUUAGCAACAGAUUCUCAGAGUAAAUUGUUAACUUCUAUGAUUUAUGAUAAUCAAGCUGGACUUGAUCAUACAAGUUAGUCUCAUAAUGUAUUGGACCAAAAUGUAAACUUCAUUGGUCAGAUUUAGAAGCAUUCAUGCUCACAAGUUUUGGGAAAGUGAAAAAUAAUAAAAUCAUCUUGGAUUUUAUUCUGUAUAUUAAAAUUUAUCUUUUAAGGAAACAAUCUGUAUACUACUUGCUUGUAUAGCCUUUUGACCCUUCUUGAGUUUUUCAGAAGCCUUUAAUUUUUAUACUUUCAAUACCAUAUUUACAUUAUAUACUUUAAUUAACAA